RNAcentral lists this ribosomal RNA (424 nucleotides) under uncultured bacterium. Its description in RNAcentral is "bacterial SSU rRNA". It matches the Rfam family "Bacterial small subunit ribosomal RNA", at positions 359 to 775 of the family's 1533-position model. The record is from RNAcentral.
GAAUAUUGGACAAUGGGGGCAACCCUGAUCCAGCCAUGCCGCGUGUGUGAAGAAGGCCUUCGGGUUGUAAAGCACUUUAAGUGGGGAGGAAGGGGUGAAAGCUAAUAUCUUUCAUCAUUGACGCUACCCACAGAAUAAGCACCGGCUAACUCUGUGCCAGCAGCCGCGGUAAUACAGAGGGUGCAAGCGUUAAUCGGAAUUACUGGGCGUAAAGCGCGCGUAGGCGGUUAUUUAAGUCGGGUGUGAAAGCCCCGGGCUCAACCUGGGAAUUGCAUCCGAUACUGAGUGACUAGAGUAUGAGAGAGGGAGGUAGAAUUCCACGUGUAGCGGUGAAAUGCGUAGAUAUGUGGAGGAAUACCGGUGGCGAAGGCGGCCUCCUGGCUUAAUACUGACGCUGAGGUGCGAAAGCGUGGGGAUCAAACAG